UUGGGCCUACUUAUAUUAGGCCUGUUUCACUCAAGGACCCGGCCCUUGUCCGAUUGGUAUUUUUAUUUGUCUCCAUUCUUGUGUAUGUAUAUUGUCAUGUAUACUGGAUAUUAAUUAGUGGAUGUUUCUUUUAUUUACCUUCCCAGUCUUCUCUGUCUUCGACAUAAACUGUUUAGGGAAGUUUUUAGAUUCAUCAUUAGGUUAACACAGCUUGCCAUUGGUUCUGUAAAGGAGAAGAUAUUUUCAAACCUUAGUUUCUUAUGAGUGAUAUACAAUUGUGUUAAGGUAGUGUUAUUACUGACUUCAUUAUAACGUGUUAGUACAAGGGUGGAGGGGAGACAUCAUGAGGAAGCUCCUCAACAUCCUCCAGAGAUUGGCUUGUAGCUGAUUCAACAAAAGGGAAGGAUUUUAAGACAACAAAUUGGACGAAAUUCUCUGAGAUCAAUGAUAACAUUAGCAAGUAAACAGGGUGAUGCUGGGGACAAACUGCGAUUGGAACUUGCGAUGUUAAAAGAGGAGGAGAAGACACUGUUAAAACAAACCUAAUAGUGUAUCCAGGUCUUGUGGACUUUAAAACCAAUUGAGGCAUUACUCUUGAAGUGGUCUCUUGAAGAGGUAAAGAAACAAUUGUGUCUUAAGGCUCCUGAGGUGAAGGUAGUUUUACCGUUUAAACUAUUUGAUGCCAUUAUGACCUUUGUGAUUUCCUUAUCUCUUGAUGAAACUCAUAGCCAACCUCUUUGUGCAUUCUUCGAUAAGUUUCUAAUGUUCAGAACAAGGGAUCCUUGGUUAUAUCUUAAGUGUGUGCAACCUUGGCAUGAUACUAUGAUUAUUUGUGCUAACCCUAACCCUCAUGUCAUGAGGAUAUUGUAUUUGUUUGUCCUUUCUUUGGUUUUCAAGGUUUGGAUUCGAGGUCGAAUCAUUUUCUAGAAGGGGAGGAUGAUACAAGCCAAAUUGCCUCCGAACCUUUGAAUGAGAUAUGUAUGAUGCUCGAGGUGCUUGAUGACUCCUUAGGACUUUUAAAAGAUGCCACAUGGAGGAAGAUUGCUAUUAAGGAGGGUCAAAGGACUUUGGAGGGGUUGAAGGAGUGCGAAAUGGGGCUCGAAAGCCCUUUGGAAGCAUCAUGCGCCCAAGGCACUUUGGAUCCGCUUUUGAUCCGCUCUAGCAUUUCAAGAGUGGGCCAAAACAGCCUCUAGUGGGUCUUUUCUUACAUUUGGGUCACUUUUGGUUAAUUAUGUAAUAUCUAGCCAAACUGUAAAUGCUUGGUAGCUAGGCUUAUUUCCAUAGUUUUUGGAUGAUAAU
This is a long non-coding RNA of Capsicum annuum, 1299 nucleotides long. RefSeq lists it as uncharacterized. The transcript has 3 exons. Lineage: Eukaryota; Viridiplantae; Streptophyta; Magnoliopsida; Solanales; Solanaceae. The record is from RefSeq and is a predicted model, not a curated record.